UGGCGGCGUGCCUAACACAUGCAAGUCGAACGCGAAAAGCAGUAAUGCUGAGUAGAGUGGCGCACGGGUGAGUAACACGUAAAUGACAUGUCCUCGAGACGGGAAUAACCAGCCGAAAGGCUGGCUAAUACCCGGUAAGCCCACGUCUUUGGAGAUGAGGGAAAAGGGUCGGGAAUUUUCGAAUCCGAUCGCUUGAGGAGUGGUUUGCGGCCCAUCAGGUAGUUGGCGAGGUAAAAGCUCACCAAGCCUAAGACGGGUAGCUGGUCUGAGAGGAUGAUCAGCCACACUGGAACUGAGACACGGUCCAGACUCCUACGGGAGGCAGCAGUGGGGAAUCUUGCGCAAUGGGAGCAAUCCUGACGCAGCAACGCCGCGUGGGUGAUGAAGGUCUUCGGAUCGUAAAGCCCUGUCGGAGGGGAAGAUGCUUGGAACGUCUAAUAGAUGAGCCAGGUGACGGU
RNAcentral lists this ribosomal RNA (458 nucleotides) under uncultured bacterium. RNAcentral describes it as "bacterial SSU rRNA". It matches the Rfam family "Bacterial small subunit ribosomal RNA", at positions 37 to 476 of the family's 1533-position model. The record is from RNAcentral.